GGCUGGUCCAAAGGUGGUGAGACAUCUCAGUUGAUUGUUCACAGUCAGUUGCAGUUCGAACUCCCUGUUCUACUCUUCCCCCCCUUCUCACUAGUGCACUUGACUAGUCUUUA
This is an unclassified non-coding RNA of Carlito syrichta (Philippine tarsier), 113 nucleotides long. It matches the Rfam family "Y RNA". From Rfam's summary of the family: Y RNAs are components of the Ro ribonucleoprotein particle (Ro RNP), in association with Ro60 and La proteins. The Y RNAs and Ro60 and La proteins are well conserved, but the function of the Ro RNP is not known. NCBI's taxonomy places the organism in Eukaryota, Metazoa, Chordata, Mammalia, Primates, Tarsiidae. The record is from Ensembl.